CCGAUUGCGAUCUGAUGAUGAAGUCUGAUGGAGCAACGCCGCGUGAGUGAUGAAGGUUUUCGGAUCGUAAAACUCUGUUGUAAGGGAAGAACACGUACGAGAGGGAAUGCUCGUACCUUGACGGUACCUUACGAGAAAGCCACGGCCCAACUACGUGCCAGCAGCCGCGGUAAUACGUAGGUGGCAAGCGUUGUCCGGAAUUAUUGGGCGUAAAGCGCGCGCGGCGGCCUUUUAAGUCUUAUGUGAAAGCCCCCGGCUCAACCGGGGAGGGCCAUUGGAAACUGGAAGGCUUGAGUACAGAAGAGAAGAGUGGAAUUCCACGUGUAGCGGUGAAAUGCGUAGAGAUGUGGAGGAACACCAGUGGCGAAGGCGACUCUUUGGNCUGUAACUGACGCUGAGGCGCGAAAGCGUGGGGAGCAAACAGGAUUAGAACCCUGGUAGUCCCGCCGUAAACGAUGAGUGCUAGGUGUUGGGGGGUUUCCGCCCCUCAGUGCCUGAAGCUAACGCAUUAAGGGCACUCCGCCUGGGGAGUACGGCCGCAAGGCUGAAACCCCAAAGGAAUUGACGGGGACCCGCACAAGCGGUGGAGCAUGUGGUUUAAUUCGAAGCAACGCGAAGAACCUUUCCAACUCUUGACAUCCCAAUUGACCGCUUGAGAGAUCAAGUUCCCUUCGGGGAC
This 679-nucleotide ribosomal RNA is filed under the name Exiguobacterium sp. JRI01. RNAcentral's name for it is "bacterial SSU rRNA". It matches the Rfam family "Bacterial small subunit ribosomal RNA", at positions 359 to 1027 of the family's 1533-position model. The record is from RNAcentral. Lineage: Bacteria; Bacillati; Bacillota; Bacilli; Caryophanales.